This 868-nucleotide ribosomal RNA is filed under the name uncultured bacterium. Its description in RNAcentral is "bacterial SSU rRNA". It matches the Rfam family "Bacterial small subunit ribosomal RNA", at positions 31 to 912 of the family's 1533-position model. The record is from RNAcentral.
GAACGCUGGCGGCGCGCCUAACACAUGCAAGCCGAACGAGAGAUGAGGAGCUUGCUCUUCAAAUCGAGUGGCGAACGGGUGAGUAACGCGUGAGGAACCUGCCUCAAAGAGGGGGACAACAGUUGGAAACGACUGCUAAUACCGCAUAAGCCCACGGCUCGGCAUCGAGCAGAGGGAAAAGGAGCAAUCCGCUUUGAGAUGGCCUCGCGUCCGAUUAGCUAGUUGGUGAGGUAAUGGCCCACCAAGGCGACGAUCGGUAGCCGGACUGAGAGGUUGAACGGCCACAUUGGGACUGAGACACGGCCCAGACUCCUACGGGAGGCAGCAGUGGGGAAUAUUGCACAAUGGGGGAAACCCUGAUGCAGCGACGCCGCGUGGAGGAAGAAGGUCUUCGGAUUGUAAACUCCUGUUGUUGAGGAAGAUAAUGACGGUACUCAACAAGGAAGUGACGGCUAACUACGUGCCAGCAGCCGCGGUAAAACGUAGGUCACAAGCGUUGUCCGGAAUUACUGGGUGUAAAGGGAGCGCAGGCGGGAGAACAAGUUGGAAGUGAAAUCCAUGGGCUCAACCCAUGAACUGCUUUCAAAACUGUUUUUCUUGAGUAGUGCAGAGGUAGGCGGAAUUCCCGGUGUAGCGGUGGAAUGCGUAGAUAUCGGGAGGAACACCAGUGGCGAAGGCGGCCUACUGGGCACCAACUGACGCUGAGGCUCGAAAGUGUGGGUAGCAAACAGGAUUAGAUACCCUGGUAGUCCACACCGUAAACGAUGAUUACUAGGUGUUGGAGGAUUGACCCCUUCAGUGCCGCAGUUAACACAAUAAGUAAUCCACCUGGGGAGUACGACCGCAAGGUUGAAACUCAAAGGAAUUG